Molecule: ribosomal RNA, 492 nt
Filed under: uncultured bacterium
Lineage: Bacteria
Description: partial 16S ribosomal RNA
Rfam family: Bacterial small subunit ribosomal RNA
Source: RNAcentral
GAUGAACGCUAGCUACAGGCUUAACACAUGCAAGUCGAGGGGAAACGGCAUCGAAAGCUUGCUUUUGAUGGGCGUCGACCGGCGCACGGGUGAGUAACGCGUAUCCAACCUGCCCAUCACUUGGGAAUAACCUUGCAAAAGUAAGACUAAUGCCCAAUGACAUCCCACGAAGGCAUCCGAAUGGGAUUAAAGAUUUAUCGGUGAUGGAUGGGGAUGCGUCUGAUUAGCUUGUUGGCGGGGUGACGGCCCACCAAGGCAACGAUCAGUAGGGGUUCUGAGAGGAAGGUCCCCCACAUUGGAACUGAGACACGGUCCAAACUCCUACGGGAGGCAGCAGUGAGGAAUAUUGGUCAAUGGGCGAGAGCCUGAACCAGCCAAGUAGCGUGCAGGAUGACGGCCCUAUGGGUUGUAAACUGCUUUUAUAAGGGAAUAAAGUGGGUCACGUGUGACUUUUUGCAUGUACCUUAUGAAUAAGGACCGGCUAAUUCCGUG